GAGUUUGAUCGUGGCUCAGGAUGAACGCUGGCGGCGUGCUUAACACAUGCAAGUCGAACGAGGAAUUUUAAAUGAGACUUCGGUGGAUUUUAAAAUUCUUAGUGGCGGACGGGUGAGUAACGCGUGGGCAACCUGCCCUGUACAGGGGGGACAACAGCUGGAAACGGCUGCUAAUACCGCAUAAGACCACGGAGCCGCAUGGCUCAGUGGGAAAAACUCCGGUGGUACAGGAUGGGCCCGCGUUGGAUUAGGUAGUUGGUGAGGUAACGGCCCACCAAGCCGACGAUCCAUAGCCGACCUGAGAGGGUGACCGGCCACGUUGGGACUGAGACACGGCCCAAACUCCUACGGGAGGCAGCAGUGGGGAAUCUUCCGCAAUGGGCGAAAGCCUGACGGAGCAACGCCGCGUGAGUGAAGAAUUAUUUCGGUAUGUAAAGCUCUAUCAGCAGGGAAGAAAAUGACGGUACCUGACUAAGAAGCCCGGCUAACUACGUGCCAGCCGCCGCCGUAAC
Molecule: ribosomal RNA, 512 nt
Filed under: uncultured microorganism
Description: bacterial SSU rRNA
Rfam family: Bacterial small subunit ribosomal RNA
Source: RNAcentral